AUCGGUUGGUGCAGAAGCCUGCUGGGAUCAGAUUCAACUACAUUUUUCAGAGGAUCUUGUGGCCGUGUCAAAGAGAGUUGUAUGCACAGGCUUUUCUCCUCCCUCCCUCCCUUCCCUCCUCCUUCCCUCCACCAUGGAGGCCAGCAACGCUGCCUUCAGCAACCACAGCAGCCCUGGCCGAGGUGCCUGCAUUGUGUGUCCAAAAACACCGGUAUAGAUAAAAGUAAUGAAAAGAAGUACUGCAAGAUUUGGUGGUAUCAUAUACAUGCCUACAGGGAGCAUAUCUAUUGGACAGAAUAUUCUUUUGCAUCAAUAAAGACAGGCAAGUGAGAAAAGUGCUCUAAUUAAGAUGCCACCAACUGCUUGCUUCUCCCUCAGGUGGGCUGGUGUUUUGUCAGUUUAAAGGAUAAGGUUAUUUAGCCCUCAUAUUUGUUUUUAGCUUGCUCUUCAGCCAAUAAAGAUCCCAGCGUGGUUUAUAAAAUGCACGGGACUAGGAAGAAGUAGAAAAAUAGUGAUUGUUGAAUUUAGUUGCCCAGAUGAAUGGGAGCAUAACUGUUCUAGGACUGAUUGUACUAAGGUAUACCUUCUGCUCUACUUUUGUUGGCAUAUUCUUUGCUGACCUGUUCCUUUUAUUGUUGUUCUUCUUUUCUACCCCCCCCCCCCCAACUUUGACUUUCUAAUAGUUUAUUUCCUAUUUUUCUCUUCAAGAUAAGAAUGAUAAUUCUUCAGAAAUGUUUCUAAUCACAGUUGGGGAAAGGAUGAGCUACUACUGAGACACAUUCAUGUUUUAUAGAUACAGUAGAGUCUCCCUUAUCCAACACUUGCUUAUCCAACGUUCUGGAUUAUCCAACGCAUUUUUGUAGUCAAUGUUUUCAAUACAUCAUGAUAUUUUGGUGCUAAAUUUGUAGAUAUAGUAAUUACUACAUAGCAUUACUGCGUAUUGAACUACUUUUUCUGUCAAAUUUGUUGUAUAACAUGAUGUUUUGGUGCUUAAUUUGUAAAAUCAUAACCUAAUUUGAUAUUUAAUAGGCCUUUUCUUAAUCCCUCCUUAUUAUCCAACAUAUUCACUUAUCCAACAUUCUGCCGGCCCGUUUAUGUUGGAUAAGUGAGACUCUACUGUAUGGUGAACACCCCAAGGGCAGCAAUGGGGCAGGAAGUAGAGCUACUGGAGUUUCCUUGGUCGGAAAUCCAUGCAUUCAAACUGCCUUUGGGCCUGGAGGAGAAUUUUUGGGUGGGAAACUAUUUGUGAUGUCUAUGAAAAAUCAAAUAACAGGGAUCAUUCAGGUUGCUCUACUCAAAAUUCACCCACAGCCCAUUCACCAAAACACAGAGGUUAUCUUAUAUACGGCAUAUAGUAACACCCAUCAACAUCCUCUCACACAACAUGUCAUCUAAUAAAUAAUAAGUCUGAGAAACAUCCAGUUAUGGUGUACACUGGUAUUGCAAUCGCAUAGAGUCCCAGAAGCUCAUGGCCAUGGGCAAUGGUCACCUGCACAAAUGACAGGCACUCUUGAUAGAAAUAGUCUAAAAAGGGGGGAAAUGUGAGUAGAUUACAUCUCAAAACAGCACAUGUACAUGAUAAUGGGAUGGAUCAAAGAGUGAAGAUUUCAACAUAUAGCUGUGAUGGCAUAUGAUUUUAUCUCCUGCUUUUCACUUGGAUUUUAAGAUAUUUAUCCUGCUGGAUUAUGCUCUUCUUUUAUAUUUUAAAUGUUAAGAUGCUAUGGGUAUGCAGCUCCCAUUUCAAGAGUGUGGGUUUAUGGAUCCAGAAAAGUUAUUUGGGGGGAUUCUAAAGGCACAGAUAGAAACAGAAUAAAUAAGAGUCCAAUUAUAUAGUGAGGUCAUUGUUUGAAAAGGGGAGGGGGACAGUGCAGAAGACUCUUUCUCUAUAGAUUUCAUCAAUAAAGUUUACCUAGCUGAAGCCAAAGGUCAUAACAUAAGGCUUGGGUGAUACAUCAUUAAGAAAUUGCAGGGUCAUGCCCCAUUGAAUAGAUUUUGGCUUUUUGGGUGGCAAAGAGGUUUCAAAUCAUCCCCUUACCUGAAAAUUACAAACAACACGACAAUGGGAAAUUUGGCCAUUCAAGCUUAUAGGUUGGGUUUCACAAUCCCACCAACCACCAGAAUUAUCCUUCUGUGAGCUUACCUUAAUAUAAUGAUCUUCUAAAGGAAAUUUGAUAAACAUAACCCAAGUUAAAUUGAAGAUGCUGUUUUUAACAGGGAGGCUGAAAAAUGUUGAUGAAGCAGUGAGGGCAAUAUAAAUGCAGGGGCAGGUAGGCAAGACAAAUGUAUUAUGCCUAGUGACAGUUUACUGGUUGCCUUGUCUUAGUCUUAGGCGAUCCCUCGUAGGCCGAGGAUGAUGGUCCUCCAGUUAUAGGGUCUUGGGGGUGUGUCAGCAGGUGACUGAAGAGACCUAUUCUUGAUCUGCAUGUUCUCCCGCAAUGAGGACAUCGGUUUCCAGGUGGAAGGCAGUCUCGGUCAGGGUUGGCUUGACACUCCUUCCUCUUGGUUGCCUUGACAGAUAUAGUAUAGUGGGGAGAAACUUCUUUUCAGCCAUGCUUCUGUGGCAUGGUAUAUCAGGGACAUCUGGUUUACUACGGCCCUUCCAGACAGGCCCAAAAUGUGGGACCUGUCUCAGUUAAAAGUUUUCCCAGUUUGCUCCACAUUAAUUUGACACCUUGAAAGAUUCAAACCUUAAGCUAAGGCCCAGAUCUUUCCACAGUCGCAGCCUGUCAAUCCCCACAGCC
Anolis carolinensis (green anole) is the source of this 2741-nucleotide long non-coding RNA. RefSeq lists it as uncharacterized. The transcript is spliced from 3 exons. The record is from RefSeq and is a predicted model, not a curated record. Lineage: Eukaryota; Metazoa; Chordata; Lepidosauria; Squamata; Anolidae.